GUUCCCGUGACGCAGCGGUUAGCGUGCUACUCUUAUAACUGUUAGGCCCGUCCUAACUGAGUAUGACGAUAUGUAGAAGUCGCGAGUUCGAUCCUCGCCGGGAACA
Non-coding RNA from Biscogniauxia marginata, 106 nucleotides. NCBI's taxonomy places the organism in Eukaryota, Fungi, Ascomycota, Sordariomycetes, Xylariales, Xylariaceae. The record is from the annotation of a GenBank genome assembly.